CAUUAAAAGUAAUAUAUAUUCAUUGGAAUAUACAUUUCAAACCCCUUGUCUAAACUACCUGUUGCUUCCGGCUGUUUGGGCUGUACAGCUAGCUGUAUAGCCUGGCCGGAAGGUUGACAUAAAAUAUUGUAUUUAGAGUCUUCUGAAUUGUUAAAACAAAAGUUAAAACUUUCAACAACGGAUCUCUUGGUUCUCGCAUCGAUGAAGAACGCAGCGAAAUGCGAUAAGUAGUGUGAAUUGCAGAAUUCAGUGAAUCAUCGAAUCUUUGAACGCACAUUGCGCCUUCCGGUAUUCCGGGAGGCAUGCCUGUCCGAGCGUCAUCAAAAUCCACUCAAGUAGUUUUGCUUGGUCAUGAAAGAAGAGUUUGCUUUGCGGAUUCCCUUUCGAAAUUCAAUGGCAGAGAGUCUCAUGAUUCCGGCGUAGUAAUAACUUAUUCGCUUGGUCAUUGUAACAAUCUUGCCC
RNAcentral lists this ribosomal RNA (462 nucleotides) under uncultured fungus. RNAcentral's name for it is "eukaryotic LSU rRNA". The stretch from base 167 to 320 matches the Rfam family "5.8S ribosomal RNA". Lineage: Eukaryota; Fungi. The record is from RNAcentral.